Non-coding RNA from Drosophila suzukii, 464 nucleotides. Lineage: Eukaryota; Metazoa; Arthropoda; Insecta; Diptera; Drosophilidae. The record is from RefSeq and is a predicted model, not a curated record.
AAGUAUUACUAAUCUUUGUUAGACCACAAUAAUGUUGAUGUUGUUCAUCAAACUGGUAAAUGUUGGCUUUUGGUACAGAAUGUACCCGGUAAUUGUAGCAAAGAAAGUUUUAGUGAUAAAACAGUAUGGAAAGAUUUCCAGCUAUCAUUACUUAGUAAUCUUCAAUAUAUCAUCAACAGAAAAUUAGUAAUUACUGAGGAAAGGAAAGACUUCCCUUCUCAAGCAAAUAUCUUUGGCAAUUUUUCCUUUUAAAACAAGACAAUUUCCUUCUGAAAGGGUAUCACAGUCUUUUCAACGAGUUUUUAAUCUUAUUGAAUAUUUAAAAAUUGCUUUAAGCGAACAAUUUGUAUUCAAAAAGUACAUAUACUCACAUCAAAUCUUGGAUUUUAUACACAACGGACUGAAAGUAAACUCCAAACAAACAAAUAACUUUCGAGUUGAUCAUGCAUAUUUUGAAAGCUUUU